Molecule: transfer RNA, 71 nt
Filed under: Phrynocephalus maculatus (blacktail toadhead agama)
Lineage: Eukaryota; Metazoa; Chordata; Lepidosauria; Squamata; Agamidae
Description: tRNA-Gln
Rfam family: tRNA
About the family: Transfer RNA (tRNA) molecules are approximately 80 nucleotides in length.
Source: RNAcentral
UAGAGAGUAGUAUAAAAGGUAGUACGAAAAAUUUUGGAUUUUUUUGUGGGGUUCGAAUCCUCUCUUUCUAA